Molecule: long non-coding RNA, 424 nt
Organism: Saccostrea echinata
Lineage: Eukaryota; Metazoa; Mollusca; Bivalvia; Ostreida; Ostreidae
Exons: 2
Source: RefSeq, a predicted model, not a curated record
AUGUUCAACAGCUUAGGCAUUUUAGUACAGAGUGGAUUAUUGAGGCAGACCCUGAUGGAAAACUUGCACAUGUUCCACAAACCAGUGAAGACCAUUUUGCAGAAUAUAAACUUUUUCCGCAGAUAAGCCAAGACCCUAAUGGUGUUCAUGUGUGUGUGGUUAAUUAUUUGCUCUGAAGCUGAUAUGUGGACUGAAUAUAAAACUGUUUUUUUCUACAGUUAAGUCCAUCUUAAUCUGAAAAUACUACCGGUACAUUUUGAAUUAUGCUUUAUUAUGCAGAAAAAAAAAUAAUUAGUUUCAAAUAUGAAAAGUCUGUUGAUACACUGCUUUGCAAUUCAAAAAGUGAUAAUGUGAUAAGUUUUGAUGUGAAUAUGUGACAUGUGCCAUUAUCAAUUUUCAUAAAUAAAAUCAAAUACAAAGGCCA